ACUAGAUUGUCCAUACACAUAAACGUAGA
RNAcentral lists this non-coding RNA (29 nucleotides) under Cricetulus griseus (Chinese hamster). The record is from RNAcentral. Lineage: Eukaryota; Metazoa; Chordata; Mammalia; Rodentia; Cricetidae.